AUUAAGUUAGUUUAAAAAAAAUAUUAGGAUGUGGGCCUAAGGAUAAAGCAGAUUCUUUACUUAAUU
RNAcentral lists this transfer RNA (66 nucleotides) under Lamellomphalus manusensis. Its description in RNAcentral is "tRNA-His". The record is from RNAcentral. Lineage: Eukaryota; Metazoa; Mollusca; Gastropoda; Neomphalida; Neomphalidae.